This 73-nucleotide transfer RNA is filed under the name Dallia pectoralis (Alaska blackfish). RNAcentral describes it as "tRNA-OTHER". Lineage: Eukaryota; Metazoa; Chordata; Actinopteri; Esociformes; Umbridae. The record is from RNAcentral.
GUUGGUGUAGCUCAGUGGUAAAGUGCAUGCUCUGUAUGUAUGAUGUCCUGAGUUCAAUCCCCAGCUUUUCACA